GCAGUCGACGAUGAAGCCCUUCGGGGUGGAUUAGUGGCGAACGGGUGAGUAACACGUGGGCAAUCUGCCCUUCACUCUGGGACAAGCCCUGGAAACGGGGUCUAAUACCGGAUACGACCUGCCGAGGCAUCUCGGUGGGUGGAAAGCUCCGGCGGUGAAGGAUGAGCCCGCGGCCUAUCAGCUUGUUGGUGAGGUAACGGCUCACCAAGGCGACGACGGGUAGCCGGCCUGAGAGGGCGACCGGCCACACUGGGACUGAGACACGGCCCAGACUCCUACGGGAGGCAGCAGUGGGGAAUAUUGCACAAUGGGCGAAAGCCUGAUGCAGCGACGCCGCGUGAGGGAUGACGGCCUUCGGGUUGUAAACCUCUUUCAGCAGGGAAGAAGCGAAAGUGACGGUACCUGCAGAAGAAGCGCCGGCUAACUACGUGCCAGCAGCCGCGGUAAUACGUAGGGCGCAAGCGUUGUCCGGAAUUAUUGGGCGUAAAGAGCUCGUAGGCGGCUUGUCACGUCGGGUGUGAAAGCCCGGGGCUUAACCCCGGGUCUGCAUCCGAUACGGG
RNAcentral lists this ribosomal RNA (560 nucleotides) under Streptomyces viridobrunneus. RNAcentral describes it as "bacterial SSU rRNA". It matches the Rfam family "Bacterial small subunit ribosomal RNA", at positions 57 to 636 of the family's 1533-position model. The record is from RNAcentral. Lineage: Bacteria; Bacillati; Actinomycetota; Actinomycetes; Kitasatosporales; Streptomycetaceae.